UUUGGGCAACUUCAGAGACUGCAACAGAAAAUAUGGAAGAAUACAGUCAUAUUUUCUGUUGCAGUCUCUGAAGUUGCCCAAAUG
Non-coding RNA from Podarcis lilfordi (Lilford's wall lizard), 84 nucleotides. Lineage: Eukaryota; Metazoa; Chordata; Lepidosauria; Squamata; Lacertidae. The record is from the annotation of a GenBank genome assembly.